UACUGCCAAAGCAGCACAUUGAAAUCCAGGCUUUAGUUCAGGUCUACUUUGCACGCAUCAUUGGAUCGAUCCAUUUAACUAACUGUUCACGCGAAAUUUAUACGGGAAAUCAGAGUGUAACUUUCAAUAUUUACGCGUUGACUAAGGUGAACAUAAAACUGCAUGUUCUUACAAGUGGCAAUGAAGAUUGCAACCUGAUGUCCACCUCUCAGUCAUGUAACACUACUGAACACUGUGACCAGACAUAAUCAUCAAAGGAAGCUUUACGAAGGUGGCUUUGAACAGAAUCAGUGGGUGCUCAUUAAUAUGUUCAAAUUGGGGCUUCAAAGAAAAUACAUGGACGCACGCACAAGUUUAAUGAAAAUAAAUUCUGCUCACUGGAUAUUCUGAUGGGCAAAUAGUUGAAAGAUGAGGAGCAACUACAACCUCAGCAACUAAGAAAACAUUGACGGGGUGAAAUAACCACACACAAGGCUGGUAUCCUGUCACCAAAUCACCCUUUAUUUACUGGUGUACAGUACACUGCUCGGAAUCAGUUUCCUGAAUUGAGGAGAUUCCAAAUCUCCAAGUUUUUUUUUAUUCCCUUACUGCCAGACAGUGGAAGUGCUAUCUCCCGAUCAUAUUGGACAGCCAGGGAUUUCCUGAUUGGCCCAGGCUAACGACCCUAAUCAGGGAUCUUGUUGUCAACGAGAUUCAGCUGGUUCCAAUUAUUGAUAGGGUUUUUAAAACUUUUUUGUGUAUUUCUGAGGAGAAUUAAAGGAGAAACUGCUGAU
Molecule: non-coding RNA, 773 nt
Organism: Chiloscyllium plagiosum (whitespotted bambooshark)
Lineage: Eukaryota; Metazoa; Chordata; Chondrichthyes; Orectolobiformes; Hemiscylliidae
Source: RefSeq, a predicted model, not a curated record